UACAGACGGUCCAAACGUUAUUCGGAAUCACUUGGCUUAAAGAGUUCGUAGGCGGUCAGGAAAGUGGGGUGUGAAAGCCCUCGGCUUAACCGAGGAAUUGCGCUCCAAACUCCCUGACUUGAGGAGGCUAGAGGUAAGCGGAACUGAUGGUGGAGCGGUGAAAUGCGUUGAUAUCAUCAGGAACACCGGAGGCGAAGGCGGCUUACUGGGGCCUUUCUGACGCUGAGGAACGAAAGCUAGGGGAGCGAACGGG
Molecule: ribosomal RNA, 253 nt
Filed under: uncultured bacterium
Lineage: Bacteria
Description: partial 16S ribosomal RNA
Rfam family: Bacterial small subunit ribosomal RNA
Source: RNAcentral